Molecule: non-coding RNA, 180 nt
Filed under: Silvimonas sp.
Lineage: Bacteria; Pseudomonadati; Pseudomonadota; Betaproteobacteria; Neisseriales; Chitinibacteraceae
Description: 6S RNA
Rfam family: 6S / SsrS RNA
About the family: E. coli 6S RNA was the first non coding RNA to be sequenced, but its function was unknown until recently. It consists of 184 nucleotides that fold into an extended hairpin structure with a large single-stranded internal bulge. The 6S RNA specifically associates with RNA polymerase holoenzyme containing the sigma70 specificity factor.
Source: RNAcentral
GCUUUCCUGCGGUGUUCGAUUACGGUUCUAAUUUCCUUGAACCUAGCUUAUCCUUCGGUCGCCAGCCACGAAGCGCCUGUUGUGAGCAUUCCUCGUUGAAUGCACCUGAUGGCGCACGGCCAGCGGCCCCUUGAACCUCCGGGUUCAGGAUAUGAACCGACCGGCACUCGCGGGAAGCCC